GACUCUCGGCAACGGAUAUCUCGGCUCUCGCAUCGAUGAAGAACGUAGCAAAAUGCGAUACCUGGUGUGAAUUGCAGAAUCCCGCGAACCAUCGAGUUUUUGAACGCAAGUUGCGCCCGAUGCCUUCCGGCCGAGGGCACGUCUGCCUGGGCGUCA
This 156-nucleotide ribosomal RNA is filed under the name Sorghum bicolor (sorghum). RNAcentral's name for it is "rRNA 5_8S_rRNA". It matches the Rfam family "5.8S ribosomal RNA". Rfam says of the family: 5.8S ribosomal RNA (5.8S rRNA) is a component of the large subunit of the eukaryotic ribosome. It is transcribed by RNA polymerase I as part of the 45S precursor that also contains 18S and 28S rRNA. The record is from RNAcentral. Lineage: Eukaryota; Viridiplantae; Streptophyta; Magnoliopsida; Poales; Poaceae.